This 871-nucleotide long non-coding RNA is filed under the name Neodiprion pinetum (white pine sawfly). RNAcentral describes it as "uncharacterized LOC124215703". Lineage: Eukaryota; Metazoa; Arthropoda; Insecta; Hymenoptera; Diprionidae. The record is from RNAcentral.
ACUGAUGGUUCCGUCUCAUCUCAGUAUUCUCCGCUUGAAUUAAGUAGGGAGGUGAGCAUUUGAAUCGUUGCACCUUGCCAUUGGUCUUAAUCCAGAUCAGUGUAAACGAAGAUAUUACGGACGUUGCAAAUGAUGAAGAUAAACUCUUUAGGAACUCCGUACUAACAUGGCCAACAUUUGUUCACAGAACGAUGGAUGGGUGCACUGUUACUCUCCCGAUCUUUGUACCAUCACACUUCUCGGUGCAGUGUAUUCUAGGGAAUCGCAAGAAGUUUCUAGCCCUGAAGUAAAAAGAAGCCAUCCUUCGAAAUCGGCCAAGAAGUCUAAGCAUGGGUUGAAAAUUCAUUAACAGUGCAAGUCUUUUCUUUCAGAGUUAUUAUCAGUGCAACACAUUGAGAAAUAAUGUUUUGGAAACCAAUGAAUCUGCUAUUCAAGUGCAACAUGAUGGAAAAACACUUGAGACCGGAACGGAAUACCGGAACAGUGGAACUGCCGAGUCAUUCCAUGGCCACGAAAUAUGUGGACCUGAAAAAUUGGGCGUUUUAUUGACGUUACAAGGUCACGGCAAGGGGGACGCAUUCGUAAAGUUCUCCUCAAAUUCACCGUGUCCAUGUCUCGUUCAGGCUGUAAAAAGUACCAAUGUGAGGAAAUUGGUUCAGGACCGGAUUGUUGAGGAAAUCACCACGCUGAUCGGAAGAUUUGUUUCAAUUUACUCGAUUGACUUUUUAUAUAUAAGUAAAUAUCGAAUCAUCAGAAUUAUUGUGUCAUUAGAUAAGUGAGAUUUUGAGAUGUGGCCAUGAUUGAUACUGUGUACCAAUGUGGUGUAUCAAUUGGUGGCUGUGAAUUUAAUAAACUUGUCCUGCAGUGAAUA